AUUUAAAACCAGAUGCUCCGCAGGGCGCAGCUUUAUACGACCGCAGAGGUUGAACCCUGAACGGUUGGGGCAAGUAUGGACACAACAUUCAAGCUGGAUUCAGCUCUAAAUUUGGAUUGUGAUUAAAUAGUUGACACAGCAUAGGUUUCUGACACAGAAUGAAUGUGGUCUAAUGAACUUAAAAUAUUCUUUUUGCCUUUGAGAAAUUCACUAUGCUGUUGAAUAUUAAUCCUCUCAAAAAAAAUCUCAA
RNAcentral lists this long non-coding RNA (250 nucleotides) under Mytilus galloprovincialis (Mediterranean mussel). Lineage: Eukaryota; Metazoa; Mollusca; Bivalvia; Mytilida; Mytilidae. The record is from RNAcentral.